AUUUAAAUAGCUUAUAUAGAGCAUAAUAUUGAAGAUAUUAAGGUAAUAUUUAUUAUUUUUAAAUA
RNAcentral lists this transfer RNA (65 nucleotides) under Platisus bicolor. RNAcentral describes it as "tRNA-Phe". Lineage: Eukaryota; Metazoa; Arthropoda; Insecta; Coleoptera; Cucujidae. The record is from RNAcentral.